GAAUCCAUUUUACUACGCACAUGCCAAGUUUGGAUAACUGGUAAAUUGGUGGCGAGCCGAUGAAUCUGGACCAUUGGAUAUACAUUAGGUUUCUCUCUCUCGACAUCUUAAUGUGCCGAGUCCUUUUCUUUUCCUGCUCUUGUUCCGCCGCCGACUCCUCUCAUCUGUUCCACGCUGCCUCUUCCUCCUAGCGCCGCUGCUUUCUUUCUCAUCUCCGCCGCGGUCUCCCCUCCACCACGCCAUCCCAAUCUGCUGCAUCAUGAGUGGUUGUUGCUGCUCACUAUUGCCGUAGCACUGUACUGGGGGCAGAGGGAGAUUGGCGCUGGUGGUUGUCGCUGAUGCAAGGCAGGGAGAGAGGGAACGUGCAAGAGGAUAACAAGAGAAAGGUUCGAUAAAUUCUAGCGGCGAGCGUGUGGCGCCGAGUUCUCAACAAGGUUAAGGUACUCGCUAAUCAAGUUUGUAUGGGAUGGGAGUAGCCACUUCACGAUGAGCAUACACACACCUUUGCCAUUCAUUAAACAAAUCCCUAGGCUGAAUAAUUCUUUUGAUGUUAAGGAUUGUUGCAUGGUCAUUUGGUUGUCGCUUAAAAUUUAUUUAUUUGGUUGUGUUGGUUGAUGAGCAAGUUUAUUUACUAUCUUUCUAUUCACUUUGCUAUAUUUAUAUCUUAUGUGCCUCGGAUGUUAGAGUUUACAAAGGAGACUCUGCCAAAAUUUAUUAGAAUUUUUAAUAUUUAGUGCAAUUUAAUGUUUUUAAUAGUAACCUCCAAGUAUGUCAUUACUUGGGGCGUUACAGCUAACUUCAUGUUCCAGUACCUUUAUUUGAAUACGUCUUCAUGAAUUGAUGUCACCUCCAUUAGUUGAAUGACCACCAAAAAGCAUAUUGGCUUGCGAUGAUUUAGAUGACACAAGUUGUGUCGUGACAAAAGAGAAUUAUAUUCGACAGACAAGGAGCAUUGAAUUUUAAUCCUAUCUCAUGCUGCUGAGCAAACCACCAAAACAUCAUAACAUACAAAAUUUGAACAAAAUAACAGCUAUUUUUUGAAAAAUGAAAAAGAAUCAUGUAAAGCACCCUUACUUGGCUACAUGGCAACAAUUGUGCCUCAACUAUAUGAAAAAAGACUUAUGUUUACUCACUUAUUUGGAUCCUAGUACACACAGUUACCUUUUGGACACAUAAACAAAGAAAAACAUGAAAAUGACUUAAGCAUGACGGAGAAAUAACGAUAUUUGCACCAAAAGGAAAAGAUGAGUAAAAUGCAGACGACAAUGUUAUACCUUUUUUAUCUUGUCAGUGAGAUUCAGUGGUUGAAUUACCUAUGUCGACCAUAUAUAAAAAAAGAUACACUUGUAGUCAAGAGAUCUGCAUAACAUGACACACAUGCAUUUAACUAAAUAUCAUCUUAGCAUUAUAGUUGUUUAAUAAUGCCUCUGCUAAGAGCUAACGCUAUGCCACAUUUAGUAAUGCAAAUCAAAUGAAAAUACCCUAUCUCAACAUUGAUCAUUGCACUGAGCCACUGGCAUCAAUUCUUCUUGUUCAGCUAUAGGCAUGUGAUAGCUUCUACCUUCUAGAAACAUUUACUACCUUGAAUCCUAGGCACUAAAAAACUCAAAACAAUACAGGUCUAGAGUAUCAAAUUGGAAACUCACAAAAAGAAAAAUAUAAAUUAAUUCUCAAUCAAGCAACCAGGAAUUUGGCAGGCACUGAACGAAAUAACUAUCAUGUUGCUUUAGAUUUACAGUGGUGCAUAGCAAAAGGCCAGCGAAGACCUUGGUAAAACAAAAAAAGUGGGCCACCUCACGAGCUCAGUUGCUGUGGCAAUUUCCUGCUCUCCUUUAGUCCUUUCCGCCUUUCUUAUUUCUUAUUCUUUCAAAGGCCCGAGUGCUUUACAGUACCGUAUGAAGAAGUUAAAUUCAUUGUUCAAUUUCUUUUCAACUACAAGCACAUCUGUUGAACCAAUAAAUUGCACACAGUCUGAACCAUGGUAAGUAUAGAAAUUUGCAUUUUUGCAAUGCUUAUAGAGUUGCAUUCGAGAGUCAAAGGGUCAUCAAGCAAACGUCAAUCAUGCACUAAGCAGCUUGCAUUUCUGCUGCAAUGACAAGAAUUACAUUUCUAGAAUUGAUCCAGAUAAUUACACAAGAAGCUAAGAACUAAAAUAUGCCUUUGCAUCCACGUUUACUUUGAAGCAUCAUAAUACUUCCUAAUUCAUAAAUUAGCCAACAAAUUAAACAAUUGAACAAACGAAGACAUCAAGUAAAUCAGUCAAUUAGAUACAUGCCUUACCAACAAAACAGAUCGGAGGAGAGGGAGUCUUGACCCAUGCCGUGGGGGAGGAGCCGGAAUGGGGGAUCUGGACGCAGGCGUGGAGUCGGCGGCGCAGCGGGCUUGCGCCGUCCGUGGCGGAGUCACUGGUCUGCGGUGGAGGCGCCAGAGUUGGGGGCGGCCUCAGUCCGCGGGGUAGCGCCGGUCCAUAGGGGAGGCACUGGAGUUGGGGGAGGUGCUCCAGACGCUGGCGUAGAGGCGGCAGCGGCGGCGCCCGAGACGGCGCGACGACGCUGAAGUUGGGGGAGGCGCUGGAGUUGCGGCAGGCGCUCCAGACACGGGCGUGGAGGUGGUGGCGGCGUCCCGAGGCGGCCGCGUGGCGGCGAUCUAGAUCGCGGCGUGGAUUCGUGGGAGGAGGGGAGGGCCGUGCGGACGGAGAGGAGGGGACGGCAUGGGGGAGGCGGAGAGAAGGGGGAGCACAGGGGAGGCGGCGCAAGCGGAGGAUGAGGAGCGGAAGGGCGGUGGCGCUGACAAAGAUGGAGGAUGGUGCUGUGCGAUCCCGCUGAGCGUACAUCGGAGGGUCUGCCAUCGUUGAGCGAUGAGAAAGGGCGAUCAUACGGCCAAAAAUAUGAAAACAAAAAAAGUGACCCUUAGACUUUUUUUAGUAGCAGAGAAGAGAAGAGAAGAGAUAGUAGAAGAAAGGAGGAAGUCCAGAUUACACCCCUAAUCUCUUCAAAAAGUCCAGGUUUCAACCCUAUUGUAUGAAACCGGCUGGAUCUCAACCCCGACCUCCCGAAACCAGCCAGCCGCCCCUGUUUCCUCCCCACACCGUGGUUUUGGCCACGCUGGCUGCCAGCGCGGCUCUCCCCCGACCAAAUAGCCGCACCCGGGCCUCCCUCCAGUCGCUCUCUCUUCUAUCCUCUUCCUUCCCCAAAUCCCUUGCGGCUGGAACCCUAGGCGUGUAGGAAGAUGGCGAGCUCGAGUACUGGGAGUUCCUUCCGUUCAAGUGCUUCAGCAGCCCACGGCACCGGAGAAGAAGGCGUCCAUUCGUCACCCGUUGCUUACAGGGUGCGCCCACUGGAGUACGAGCCGCUCGUGUACUGUCAUUGCAAGCGGAAGGCGCCAAGAUGGAUUUCUUGGAGCAGUGAUAACCCCGGAAGGAGAUACUACACAUGCAUGAGGCGCCGGGAUGGUGGCUGCACAUUCUGGGAGUGGCACGAUGGCGUCACCCGUUGCGAAUGGUUGAAGGAAUUGUUGAUUGAUAUGAGGGACAAGAUCUGGGCAUUGAGAAGGGAGAAUUUACAUUUGACAGAUUCAAUUGCUGAUACAAGGGCAGAGUUGGACCAAAUGCUUUUCCAGGGAAGACAAGUAGAGCAGGCCUUGCGUCUGAAAUUAGCUGAAAAAGAUGCUGAGUUAGCUGCACUUGGUGAAAGGCUCAGGAGAUUUGACAAAGAAAGGGUUGUACUAAGGAUAACAAUUUUAACAUGUAUUUGUGUUUGUGUUGGAAUGUUGAUUAGGACUUUGUGAAGUACAUCAGUUUCAGUGUAAUGUAAUGGCAAUUCCAACCAAGUUAGUUCCAGCAUCGGUGACGUAGAUCAGUUCGAGCAAUGUAAUGUAUGUUCUGUUUAUGAAUGGAAAUCCUUUUCUUGUUUCAAA
This is a long non-coding RNA of Panicum virgatum (switchgrass), 3915 nucleotides long. RefSeq lists it as uncharacterized. Lineage: Eukaryota; Viridiplantae; Streptophyta; Magnoliopsida; Poales; Poaceae. The transcript has 5 exons. The record is from RefSeq and is a predicted model, not a curated record.